This 466-nucleotide ribosomal RNA is filed under the name uncultured bacterium. RNAcentral's name for it is "bacterial SSU rRNA". It matches the Rfam family "Bacterial small subunit ribosomal RNA", at positions 338 to 795 of the family's 1533-position model. The record is from RNAcentral.
CCUACGGGCUGCACCAGUGGGGAAUAUUGCACAAUGGGCGCAAGCCUGAUGCAGCCAUGCCGCGUGUAUGGAGAAGGCCUUCGGGUUGUAAAGUACUUUCAGCGGGGAGGAAGGUGUUGGGGUUAAUAACCGCAGCAAUUGACGUUACCCGCAGAAGAAGCACCGGCUAACUCCGUGCCAGCAGCCGCGGUAAUACGGAGGGUGCAAGCGUUAAUCGGAAUUACUGGGCGUAAAGCGCACGCAGGCGGUCUGUCAAGUCGGAUGUGAAAUCCCCGGGCUCAACCUGGGAACUGCAUUCGAAGCUGGCAGGCUAGAGUCUUGUAGAGGGGGGGUAGAAUUCCAGGUGUAGCGGUGAAAUGCGUAGAGAUCUGGAGGAAUACCGGUGGCGAAGGCGGCCCCCUGGACAAAGACUGACGCUCAGGUGCGAAAGCGUGGGGAGCAAACAGGAUUAGAUACCCCGGUAGUC